UCCACCACAACCUUGGCAAAGGGAUCGGGAAGUCCUGAGGGGAGGAAAAGAAAAAAAAAACUGGCAAAUGGCUCAGGAUGCUUUGAAGACCUGCAUCAUUGCACAAUUCACUUUUUAAUCUCUUAUUUCAAGUUGCCUUCUAUUCAUAAAUGAGCACCAUAUUUAAUGGAUGGGAACAACAUGACAUAUUAGGUACAGGGAAUGGUAAAUUAGCAGAUUAUUUCACUGAUAUGGACCAAGAAAAAGUUGUCUGAGUCAAACACAUUGGGGGAAAAAAAAUCUGAACAUCUUAAAUCUUCCUAAUUCAGGGCUCAAAAUCAGUGCUAAGAUGGUGUUGAACUGCCCAGCUGGGCAUGGAAAAGCAGCAGGAGCAGCCCAGAAUCAGCACAACCAACUGAUGGAUUCCACCCAGGGAUUCACUGACCCCAGGGAUGGUCCCACCACUGCUGCCCCCAGGUUUUUUGCACACAGUACUGCAAGAAAAACAGAAAUACAAAAUUAAGUUACUGGCUGCCAACUUGAAAAGAAGAAGUUACUUCACCUGUCCAGCAUUCCAGAAAAUCCUGCUCAAAAUAAAAUUAAUAUAAAUGAAAACUGUGCUCCUUCAUCAUUUAUAUUGUUCUACAGCCCAGCAAAAGCUUCCCUGAUCAUUAAAAGGAGAGUAUUAGGCAGCCAAGGCUUUUCUGUUAUCCUGCAUGGUAAUAAAUAAAAGGUUUUACCUGAAAAACAUCUGGGUGGAGCAGACUAACUUCUAAGGCCAGAGUUUUGAUGGUUCCAAAGAU
Molecule: long non-coding RNA, 782 nt
Organism: Lepidothrix coronata (blue-crowned manakin)
Lineage: Eukaryota; Metazoa; Chordata; Aves; Passeriformes; Pipridae
Exons: 3
Source: RefSeq, a predicted model, not a curated record